This 68-nucleotide transfer RNA is filed under the name Pimephales notatus (bluntnose minnow). Its description in RNAcentral is "tRNA-Cys". It matches the Rfam family "tRNA". From Rfam's summary of the family: Transfer RNA (tRNA) molecules are approximately 80 nucleotides in length. Their secondary structure includes four short double-helical elements and three loops (D, anti-codon, and T loops). Lineage: Eukaryota; Metazoa; Chordata; Actinopteri; Cypriniformes; Leuciscidae. The record is from RNAcentral.
AGCCCCGUGGUGGAGUGCCACGUUGGAUUGCAAAUCCAGAGACGCAGAGUAAGAGCCUGCCGGGGCUU